This 849-nucleotide ribosomal RNA is filed under the name uncultured Mycobacterium sp. Its description in RNAcentral is "bacterial SSU rRNA". It matches the Rfam family "Bacterial small subunit ribosomal RNA", at positions 58 to 922 of the family's 1533-position model. The record is from RNAcentral. Lineage: Bacteria; Bacillati; Actinomycetota; Actinomycetes; Mycobacteriales; Mycobacteriaceae.
CAAGUCGAACGGAAAGGCCCUUCGGGGUACUCGAGUGGCGAACGGGUGAGUAACACGUGGGUGAUCUGCCCUGCACUUUGGGAUAAGCCUGGGAAACUGGGUCUAAUACCGAAUAUGAUCGUCGGCUUCAUGGCCGGUGGUGGAAAGCUUUUGCAGUGUGGGAUGGGCCCGCGGCCUAUCAGCUUGUUGGUGGGGUAAUGGCCUACCAAGGCGACGACGGGUAGCCGGCCUGAGAGGGUGACCGGCCACACUGGGACUGAGAUACGGCCCAGACUCCUACGGGAGGCAGCAGUGGGGAAUAUUGCACAAUGGGCGCAAGCCUGAUGCAGCGACGCCGCGUGAGGGAUGACGGCCUUCGGGUUGUAAACCUCUUUCAGCAGGGACGAAGCGCAAGUGACGGUACCUGUAGAAGAAGGACCGGCCAACUACGUGCCAGCAGCCGCGGUAAUACGUAGGGUCCGAGCGUUGUCCGGAAUUACUGGGCGUAAAGAGCUCGUAGGUGGUUUGUCGCGUUGUUCGUGAAAACUCACAGCUCAACUGUGGGCGUGCGGGCGAUACGGGCAGACUUGAGUACUGCAGGGGAGACUGGAAUUCCUGGUGUAGCGGUGGAAUGCGCAGAUAUCAGGAGGAACACCGGUGGCGAAGGCGGGUCUCUGGGCAGUAACUGACGCUGAGGAGCGAAAGCGUGGGGAGCGAACAGGAUUAGAUACCCUGGUAGUCCACGCCGUAAACGGUGGGUACUAGGUGUGGGUUUCCUUCCUUGGGAUCCGUGCCGUAGCUAACGCAUUAAGUACCCCGCCUGGGGAGUACGGCCGCAAGGCUAAAACUCAAAGAAAUUGACGGGGGCCC